AGUGGCAGAGUGAGGGAAGGAAGGGAUGACUGGUGACAGAGUGAGAGAGGGGGUGACUAGUGACAGAGUGAAAGAGGGGGUGACUGUCACUAGUCAUCCCAUCCCUCACUCUUUCACUAGUCACCCCCUCUCUCACUCUGUCACUAGUCACCCCCUCUCUCACUCUGUCACUAGUCACCCCCUUCCCUCUCUCUGUCACUCCCUCACUCUGUCACUAAGGA
Molecule: non-coding RNA, 221 nt
Organism: Pelobates cultripes (western spadefoot toad)
Lineage: Eukaryota; Metazoa; Chordata; Amphibia; Anura; Pelobatidae
Source: the annotation of a GenBank genome assembly